AGUGAACGCUGGCGGUAGGCCUAACACAUGCAAGUCGAACGGCAGCACAGUAAGAGCUUGCUCUUACGGGUGGCGAGUGGCGGACGGGUGAGGAAUACAUCGGAAUCUACUUUUUCGUGGGGGAUAACGUAGGGAAACUUACGCUAAUACCGCAUACGACCUACGGGUGAAAGCAGGGGAUCUUCGGACCUUGCGCGAUUGAAUGAGCCGAUGUCGGAUUAGCUAGUUGGCGGGGUAAAGGCCCACCAAGGCGACGAUCCGUAGCUGGUCUGAGAGGAUGAUCAGCCACACUGGAACUGAGACAUGGUCCAGACUCCUACGGGAGGCAGCAGUGGGGAAUAUUGGACAAUGGGCGCAAGCCUGAUCCAGCCAUACCGCGUGGGUGAAGAAGGCCUUCGGGUUGUAAAGCCCUUUUGUUGGGAAAGAAAAGCAGCAGGUUAAUACCCCGCUGUUCUGACGGUACCAAAAGAAUAAGCACCGGCUAACUUCGUG
Molecule: ribosomal RNA, 492 nt
Filed under: uncultured bacterium
Lineage: Bacteria
Description: partial 16S ribosomal RNA
Rfam family: Bacterial small subunit ribosomal RNA
Source: RNAcentral